Molecule: long non-coding RNA, 204 nt
Filed under: Mytilus galloprovincialis (Mediterranean mussel)
Lineage: Eukaryota; Metazoa; Mollusca; Bivalvia; Mytilida; Mytilidae
Source: RNAcentral
CCAGUAAAAACAUAUAGAAUAGGGGAAUGGAGCACUUAUUUCGUAACUGAAUCUUAAAAUACACCUUAAAUCAGUGGUGUUACUGUCAAUGGUGAGACCAUUUUGAUAAAAUAACACCAUUGACCAGUUUAGUAACACCACUGAAUAUAUCAUGACAAUCAGCAUUGUUUUGUGUUUCUUUCAUGUUUAACAAGCUAAACAUCA